GCUGCUGAGGAGAGCUGCAUGUAAGCCGGCGGCAUUCAGAUCAAAUGAGGCAUUCCAUAAAUGGUGUGAUGAUGUUGGCUAGUCACCACCAAGCUAAACACUACUUAAUGUUUACCAAAGAUUGCCAUAGAUUCAGAAGGCUGGGGAAUACCUCUUGGAAUGAUCAGUCUGACCUCUGCAUUUUGCAGGCAAGGCACGUCGAGCACCCGGACUCCGCGGCUAGAGAACUCCUGGUAAACCACCUUCACAAGAAGCAUACAGCUUGCUGCGACCUGUCUGGAGCACCACGGUGACAAAGUGGACACCCUGGUCUAUUAAUGCACUCUGAUCGGCCUGAAGGAAGUGUCCCACACUGCCCGUUCUAGCCACUCUGGUCAUCAUCUUGAAGUCUUCUGCCCUGCCCACAGAUGCAAUGUUGAGAUCCAAGUCAUCCUUGUUAUCAACGGCCGAAAGGCUGCAAAGACUCAGGAAGCGGCUGCAAAGAAGCAAGGAGGAGCUCCUGCAUGAAGUCAUGCAGCAGUCCCUUACUGAAAAUAAAAAAGUACAGGAGUGGCAGGAGAUCGAAAGGAGGGUCCCCCAGGAGAAUGUGGAUCACCAGCAACAAACCAUGGAACAGCUUCUGAGCAUUAUGGAGCACCAAGUGGACUCGAUGUAGGCACUCAUAGCACUGCAUAUGGAGCAGACCUGCGCCCGCCCCACCCCUGCAGCCCCAAACUCUUUCCCUUGUGUCCCCAUGUCACUGCCAACCCACUUACCUCAACUUCCGGUUUCUUAUUGCCACCAGCUGCCUCCAACACCUUUAGCUUUACUGCCCAGCCCUGCAAACUACAAUCCUUACCCACUGCACUCAACCCCCAUCACCAUGCACUUUAGCCAGCCUGCAGUGCAGCACUCAUUGCACGGCACUCCAGACAGGAUGGCUGAGUAUGAUAACAGGACAUACAUAAAUCUGUGAUUUUUCUGUUCCCCACCCUGCCCCCUUCUCUCCACCCACACACCACAGAUGUGGUGU
Long non-coding RNA from Chrysemys picta bellii (western painted turtle), 1012 nucleotides. RefSeq lists it as uncharacterized. The record is from RefSeq and is a predicted model, not a curated record. Lineage: Eukaryota; Metazoa; Chordata; Testudines; Emydidae.